This 315-nucleotide ribosomal RNA is filed under the name uncultured bacterium. RNAcentral describes it as "bacterial SSU rRNA". It matches the Rfam family "Bacterial small subunit ribosomal RNA", at positions 28 to 334 of the family's 1533-position model. The record is from RNAcentral.
GACGAACGCUGGCGGCGUGCCUAACACAUGCAAGUCGAGCGGGGACAUGGAGAAGCUUGCUUCGAAAUGUUCUAGCGGCGGACGGGUGAGUAACGCGUGAGCAACCUUUCUCUCAGUGGGGAAUAACACAGGGAAACUUAGUACUAAUACCGCAUGAGACCACAGAACCGCAUGGUUUAGGGGUCGAAAGAUUUAUUGCUGAGAGGUGGGCUCGCGUCUGAUUAGGUAGUUGGUGAGGUAACGGCCCACCAAGCCGACGAUCAGUAGCCGACCUGAGAGGGUGAUCGGCCAUAUUGGGACUGAGACACGGCCCAA